UACGGAGGAUGCGAGCGUUAUCCGGAUUUAUUGGGUUUAAAGGGUGCGUAGGCGGAUCGUUAAGUCAGUGGUCAAAUUGAGGGGCUCAACCCCUUCCCGCCAUUGAAACUGGCGAUCUUGAGUGGAAGAGAAGUAUGCGGAAUGCGUUGUGUAGCGGUGAAAUGCAUAGAUAUCACGCAGAACCCCGAUUGCGAAGGCAGCAUGCCGGCUUCCUACUGACGCUGAAGCACGAAAGCGUGGGGAUCGAACAGG
This 252-nucleotide ribosomal RNA is filed under the name uncultured bacterium. RNAcentral describes it as "partial 16S ribosomal RNA". It matches the Rfam family "Bacterial small subunit ribosomal RNA", at positions 524 to 776 of the family's 1533-position model. The record is from RNAcentral.